CCUACGGGUGGCUGCAGUGAGGAAUAUUGGUCAAUGGCCGGGAGGCUGAACCAGCCAAGCCGCGUGAGGGAAGAAGGUACUACGGAUUGUAAACCUCUUUUGUCAGGGAGCAAAGUGUGGGUCGCGACCCGCGGUGAGAGUACCUGAAGAAAAAGCAUCGGCUAACUCCGUGCCAGCAGCCGCGGUAAUACGGAGGAUGCGAGCGUUAUCCGGAUUUAUUGGGUUUAAAGGGUGCGCAGGCGGUGGAAUAAGUCAGCGGUAAAAGCGCGGGGCUCAACCCCGGGCCGCCGUUGAACCUGGGUGCCUUGAGUGCGAGAAGGGUAUGCGGAAUGCGUGGUGUAGCGGUGAAAUGCAUAGAUAUCACGCAGAACUCCGAUCGCGAAGGCAGCCUACCGGCGCGCAACUGACGCUCAGGCACGAAAGCGUGGGUAUCGAACAGGAUUAGAUACCCUAGUAGUC
This 459-nucleotide ribosomal RNA is filed under the name uncultured bacterium. RNAcentral describes it as "partial 16S ribosomal RNA". It matches the Rfam family "Bacterial small subunit ribosomal RNA", at positions 338 to 795 of the family's 1533-position model. The record is from RNAcentral.